GCGCCAAGGAAGAACAUCACAUAUAAUGACAAAGUGUAUAAGGAUAAAUGUCAUAAAUAUCAUAUAUGUAAUUAUUACAUAGCGAAAGUCUUACAAAAAUAAAUGGUAAUGAUAAAGUGAACUAAUUAUUAUUUCCCUAGCACCACAAAGUUGACUGGGAGACGCCACUUAGAUCAAGUCAAACUCCUCGUUGUGCGGCUCCUCUUCGACCACCUGCUCUUCACCUGUGCGGGGGUUUAUAUAUCGCAAGAGUGAGCUCACAAAAGAUCAUAGCUCAACAAAUUGUGGGGAAUAAUGUGCAUGAACUCGCCAAAGGUGGGAGUUCAUGUGAGGUGUAAGGCUGACCAAUAAAUAAAUGUUAAAGUUGAGCAUUGCUUUUAUAAGUUGGUCAAAAUUUUAUUAUCAGUUACUAAAUGUAAGUGAUUACCAAACCAUAGUAAUAGUAAAUAAUAAUAAUAAUAAUAAUAAUAAUAAUAAUAAUCCUAAUGCGAUGCAAAUGACAAAUUGAGUUUAAUUUCAUAAAUUAAUCAUGUGAGAGUCCAAGCUGCUCAUGACCGUGAGCACGGUUAGUAUACCAGUUUUACACUCUACAGAGGUUGCGCAUCUUUACCCACAACCCAUUUGCCACGGGGUUGAUCGGACCCCAUACACCUCUACCAUGGAAGCGAGGCAGGGUACCACUACGAGGCCUUUACAAAGUUCCACUAGCUUCAGAAAACUCGCUACAGUUUCUAGGAAGCUCCAAUGCAGGGAUCCCUCGCCUGACCGCCAUCACAGCAAAAUCAACUCAAGGGCCUCCCCACAAUUACCACUCCCCUACUGCCCUUGCCCCUAUCGGGUAAGGUAGUCCACCACUAGCUUUCCUAGUUAGUCAGCCAAGGGCGUCCCAUACCACCCUUGUGGUAGCACUGUUUUCCCGGGUGGUUCUCCAUGUUAUAAUUAACAUAACGAUCUUAUCAUAAACAGUAAAUAAUAAUCUGAUAAUAAAAGUGUAAUCAUGAAUAAUGUAUAUCUCCAUCCCCAAAACCACAUAAAGCAAUAACAUGUAUUACCCAAAAAUUCAGUGGUAAAACAAGGUAUAAAGAUUGCCAAACUGGGGUAACCCAUUGGGUCCCAUCAAAAUUAGCCUAUGCAGAUCACUAUGACUAAUAAGAACAUGUAUGGGUAAAAAGGAAGUGAUCAAGGGCACAACUUGCCUUCAACGAGCUCCUGCUCAGCAGUCUCCACCUACUGAACCCUGGAUCCUCUAUAGCUUGCUCGUCUACUCGCAACAAUACAAACACACAUGGUAUAGCAAAAUUAACAUCACGCCAAACAAUGGAAUAGAAUGUAUGAUAAUAUUCUACGCUACGUAUCGAGAUCGUAGGAACAAGAAUAACUAAAUUCGGAGUUACGGUUAUUAAGUUAUGAAUUUUUGAAGUCAUUUAGUACCUAGAUAGCAUAAUUCAUGUGAAUAAUUUUAGUUCAAGUUUCAUGGCUAAGCAGAGGUACUAAGUGAUAGACAAUAUUAAAACAAAAUUAAUGUCACUGGAAUGGAUCAAUUUGGAGUUAAAAUAAAUUAAAUAUGAAUUUCACACGUUUCUAGAAUUAUUUUUGUAUUAAAAAUCAAUUUCCAUAAUUAAUUAUCUAUUUUCAUUGUUCUCUGGACUGCGCAUCAAAUACCGAAUAGUGCACGGGCUAAUCUACAAAAAUUCCCUAGACUCAGAUUCCUACCGGAGAGGACUGUGGGUUGAUUUAACAAAAUCCGAGGGCUCGUAUAAAAGUAUGCGUUCACGAAGGGGUAUGGUGUGAUAUCGGCCGUCCGAUUGACGCGAUGGCACAGAUUAGAUCUGACUGCCCACGAAGUGGUACGCAACGCGGCCCGUCCGAUCUGUGAUCUACGGCGCGGAUUCAAUAAAUAUGGAAUCGCCCUGACUCGUCCGAUCGGAUCCUACGGUCGGGAUUUUGAACACGAAGAGGUAUGCUGCCACGACAUCCCAGCCGUACACCCCAGAAUCUACGGUUGAGGCGACCCUUCAUCCGAGAUCUAAUCUUAGACGCUUAUAACUGAUCCAAUGGCUGUCGAUCGAUUUCCCCAUAACCAAACAGGACCCGACAGCGCGGUGACCUUCCGCGGUGGCGCCAUGGCCAGAAUCACGGCACCAGGCGAUGCGACGCAAACCUCAAGUCUUCCUGGCGUUGUAUGAUCAAUGGGGUACAGUGAUUACUAAGGGUAAAAGCUACACGACGGUGGUGGUCGAAGUAAUGUCGGCCAUGGCGCGCGGUUGCCACGGAGCUCCGGUGAGCAAAUCCGGAGACCCAGCGAACCUAUUUUGGGCGCAACGUGGACAGCUACCAUCUAAAGGAGAUACCGGAGCUAGCGAAAGAGGCUUACCGGCAAGGAAAAGCAGAGGGGUGACUGGCCAUGGCAAAUUCCAAGUCCGAUCUCGGCGGCGCUGCUCUUCUUCUCACUCUCUCUCUCUCUCUCUCAGAUUUACGACGAGGCUAGGGUGUCCAGGAUUCGGGACGGGCGGACGGGUCCCCGGGCACUAAAUAAAGGCAUGGGUGGUGGCCGAUGGAUGGUUGACAAGUCGGUCGGCUUCGGGGAAGUAGUGGCGGUCGUUGCGCGUGCGAGUGAAGAAAGGGGGAAGUGGACGCCUGACAAGGUAGGGCCCACGCGUCAUGGAGGCAACGGAUCAUGCUGAUCGUGGGAGCAUGGACGGAUUCAAUGGCCAGUG
Molecule: long non-coding RNA, 2717 nt
Filed under: Zea mays
Lineage: Eukaryota; Viridiplantae; Streptophyta; Magnoliopsida; Poales; Poaceae
Description: long non-coding RNA (ZMAY_LNC005352)
Source: RNAcentral